RNAcentral lists this ribosomal RNA (252 nucleotides) under uncultured bacterium. RNAcentral's name for it is "partial 16S ribosomal RNA". It matches the Rfam family "Bacterial small subunit ribosomal RNA", at positions 524 to 775 of the family's 1533-position model. The record is from RNAcentral.
UACAGAGGGUGCGAGCGUUAAUCGGAGUUACUGGGCGUAAAGGGCGCGUAGGCGGUUUGUUAAGAUUGUUGUGAAAUCCCUGGGCUUAACCUAGGAACUGCAACGAAGACUGGCGAGCUAGAGUAUUGUAGAGGGUAGUGGAAUUUCCGGUGUAGCGGUGAAAUGCGUAGAGAUCGGAAGGAACACCAGUGGCGAAGGCGGCUACCUGGACAAAUACUGACGCUGAGGCGCGAGAGCGUGGGGAGCAAACAG